ACUCCACUGGCUUGGGUGGCAAAGAUCGUGAAGUCCUGGACAUUCAUCAACCUGCCGAGGAGGGCCGACUGACUGGAGCCAGGGUCUGUUUUCUUCCCCCCUUCUUCUCCCUCGCACCGUGUCAAUGGGAUCCAGUGCGACUGUGCCGAGGCAGCCGCCCCAAGGAGACAGACCCGGGUCAGUGCAAAUAAUCAGGCCUCUGACGCCUCGGCUCGUUACUGGACUAUUUGUGGGAAAGGCUCUCUGUCUGAUGAAGUCACAGCCCCUCCAUGAUCCGCACACUACCUGCACAUGCACAGCCUCAGCCAAGUGACGUUGGCAAAACAAACAAGGGGGCAGCAUGGACAGUGUCAGACUUCAGGAGCAACAAACGUGAACGGUUCAGCUUUCCCAUGCCUCCGUCUGACAGAAACAUGGCUGACCUUUAAUAACAUCGGAUGGGAGGAAACCGCAGUGAGGACCGGUCUCAAACAUUAGUCUGGACAUGAGGGCUUCUCUCUGUAAGUCAUCAGUAGCUUUCCUCUGACUGGGUCUCGGUGAUAAUGGCGCUGAGUCAGAGCCCAAGCUCCGAGCAUGGGAAAAUGUAAAGGGAGGAAUGUGCGGGGGAAACACUGUCUGCCCUGAUGGCACUCCAGAGUCUGCUCUGUGUCCUCUCUGCAAAGAGCUUUAUUAUGACUGAGGCUUCAUGUAUUUAUAUUAACUGAAUGAUGCUGAAGUAUUCCUUCAUUUUCUCUAUUCAUAUUCUGGUUUUGGCACUUUCUGUCUACUUCUUGUCACCAGUAUGAGCUGUUUGGACCGGAUAGCUGCUCUGUGAAACCGGCCUAUUUCAUUCUGAGGCUUGUUGAAUUCACUCAUUCUAUGAACUUAUUGUAUCAUUUUAUCUACUUGGAGCUGGACGAUUUGAUUUAAUGCAUGCUGAAAAAUCCCUGACUGUGACCUGCUUCUACAUUCAUGUCUCCAUUUUCAGCAGCGGAUAAAUUUCCCUGCAAAAGUAAUCAUUUAUUUUCACGUCGACGUCAUUCUUCUGCUCAUUUACCGUCCCGCCGCCAAGCGAACUGAGCUCAUUAUCCCUUUUGGACGAGGGGAUUCAGACAUUUUGCUGCACCUUUUGUGUGUGUUAACAGUCUCUGUCCCUCGCUGCUCAUCAGUUUCAGUUUUGAGAUCUCACUUCCAAAUAUCCUCCCCUGAACUCCCCCUCCACUUUUCUCUACCCCUCCUCCUCCACCUCCCUCAAGGCCUUGGGGGAGCUCAGCAGUACAAAUUUCCGUUUAUACCAGUGGCUGGGGCUGACGACACCGCAGCUCUCUACCCCACAGAUUGACGAGCCCUCGGAUGCCGAUUUACUGUACAUGGCAGCCACUCUGGAGCCGCCGCACAUCUGGAGUGGAGUACGCUUACUGAAAAACAGGGGCCAACCUUGGCCCAAACAAGUGUAGCAGAGCAAAACCGAUGAAAGGCAGCUCCCCCCUCCCCUCAGCACACACACAUCCUCAAAGCCUCCCCCUCCUCCAGAACACAGAUCUCUCAAGCUAUUACAAAGACCUUGGAAGGACUGGAUUCUGUAAACAAAAACUUGAGAGAGGCAUUAAGAGACAUGCUGGAGCUAAUGAUGUGAUGGUGGUGGGAAUGUGUUCACCGAAGCUGCUGAAAUCUACACGUUCAAAGUGUGACUGCCAGUGUAUGUGUGUGGAUUCUUGGAAAAACAUCGAACCUUCAGCUUUGACAAAGUUUGAAACAGGAACUUUUCAAAACUUUACAGAGGGAAAAAUAACUAAGAACAGAUUUGAAUAAUACAUAAAUUGUAUCUGACACAUUUAUUUUCUUUACAUUUCCAAGGAAUUAGUUUUAUUUGGCUUGUAUGCAGAACUAAAAAUACACAUGUAACAAAAUUACAGAAUGUAAAAUCAUGAAUAAUUAGAUACCAUAGAGAGUCAAAAUGAUUGCACAAACUGACAUCCAAAAACAACAUUAGAAAUAGCAGUUGGCUUCCUGUAGGAACCUCAUGUUUUGUAAUCUGCUCUUUUGCAAUUCACAGCUGACUUUGUUCCCCACAAGAAGGAAAGGUUUCAUAAAGCUGGUAGCAGGCCAAGUCAGGAAAAAAUGCUGUUAAAUGUCAAAAUACAACUCAUCAAAAAGGAGAAGUUUAAAAAAUGUCCUCUUUUUUUUAACAGUUUCUUUUUAAAUCAGUCAAUAAUUGUACUUCUUAGGCACAACACAGGGUUAAAAAGGGUUAAAUCUUUACAUUUCAAACCCAAAUACUCUUGAUUUUUCAAGAUGUUUUAUUCUCAUGAGUAAAACUCUAAAACAAGCUCUGCUCAGCUCCCAAAAUGUGCCGUACAUCCUGUCGGUAUUAAACCCUCAGAUCUGCCUGUAGCUGAGCUCAAACCGCAGAGACGGCGUCAGGAGUCUCUGCUGCUCACCAUAUUGAAAGUGUGUUACUGUGUUACUGUGUGUGUGUGUGUGUGUGUGUGUGUGUGUGUGUGUGUGUGUGUGUGUGUGUGUGUGUGUCUGUGUUUUCAGAGAGUGUCGCUGCGUCUGUGAGUGUGUGCGAGGUAAAAGUGUCAAGGAAUUCAUUGUCUGUUCUCCACCUGUUAUUAUUCUGGUCCCAAUCAACCUGCUAGCCAGUCUGGAGCCAGUGGCCAUCUGGAAACACUGCUCUGUUUAUAAACUUGGCAAGGAUCAGCACUCCGGGGCUCUGACCUCCCACACAAAUCUGGAAACAAUUAGAGCAAGACAGUCUGGCUGAUUACUGCGAAAAGGGCCCAGCGUGGAUCCCACUGACGUCUGUGGGGACGCCAGACCCUUGUUAGAGAAAAUGCAAACUCAGUACUACGCAAAAAAACGCCACACAUCAUUAUCACACAAACACACUUACACUUUUUUUGAUUGUUGGCCUUUUUUCAUCAGGAGUCUCUAUUUUUGCAUUCAUGACCUUUUUUCGUUCUCACAGACGGAUGGGCACAUUCAACCACCCACACGCACAAACAAACACUAUGUAUUGAUCUUUUUUUUUGUAUUGUUCAUGAGGGACUUGCACCUCGCUUUUAUUUUAAGGAAACCAGAUACGAUAGCCUCUGUCCACGUGUUGACUCAUGCUUGUGAAAGCUAAAUCUAUCGUCAGAGAACACAUUUGAGAGAAAUAUGAAUAAAAAAAGAAAGAAAUCAAUCUUUGGUUUGAUGUUUAAGAUCACUUUAACCUUGUCUUUUUAUGUUGCCACAAUAAAUUACCUUUUAAAAUCUCUGUCUAAUAUCAAAGUACUUCAGUGCCUUGGAUUCAACUCAAUUCGGUGACAGCUCAGAAAUGGGGUUUCCCGUGCAGAACAGCAGGGGGGUCACUUUGGAUCAUGACGUUAUUGAUCGCUUGUCUGACUGGCUUGGAUCCUUCAAGCAGUCACUAAGUCAAAGCAAUCAUUGCCCUGACAUGAAAUAAUAAGACCUCUAAUUG
Notolabrus celidotus (New Zealand spotty) is the source of this 3445-nucleotide long non-coding RNA. RefSeq lists it as uncharacterized. The record is from RefSeq and is a predicted model, not a curated record. NCBI's taxonomy places the organism in Eukaryota, Metazoa, Chordata, Actinopteri, Labriformes, Labridae. The transcript is spliced from 4 exons.